AACAGUGCAACAAUUGUUGUUGCUAUCAAUAGUUGGGAAUUUUCUGAAGCGAUGGAAACAUUGGCAAAUUUUGCUUAUCUCGUCAUCAGGUUUCUCGUCCUUGAGAGCUCAAAAUUCAGGUCUUGUAAUAAAAAAAAAACUUGGUAAGAGACAUGUAUUGCAGAUAGUUUCUAAUUCUACACAAACACUCAUUUUAUUUAUUUACCAUUUCUUUCAGAUGUGUAACAGACAUUUGUGUGAGGUUUUAAGAGUCAAGUAGGAGAUUGGAGGCUGAGAAGCUCUGAAGACUGUUUACAGCCUCCUUAGGAGCAAAUCUUGAGAUAUUUUAAGCUCUUCUGCGUGCAUUUUUUAUGUCCGAAAUGCUUCUCAGUAUGAUUUAUGAAGGAAUAUGUGUUUAGAUGUAUAUCUUGAAACAAAAUUUGAGUUCUUAAGAGCAGCAAUUAAGGGGAGGUUACCACAAUUCAGGCAUGAGAUUUAGUUUACCAUGUUUUCCUAGUAGAUUUAGUGAUAGAUAAGUCUAUAAUAAUACCGAUUCGCCUAAAUAGAUGUUUCUGUGGUAAUAAUGUUUUUAAAUAUAAAUUCAUUGAAUUCUAUAAAUGAAGUAAGCUUCAGAAGAGCACAGUAAUAGCUAGGUCGAUAGGGUACUUUCCGCACUGUUUCAUCUGAUUCAUUUCUGUAUUUUUCGCAUCUUUGUAGAAUUUACAAAUAACUGCAUAUCAGACAAGUAUUUCAGGUAAUUUGUAAUGCUAUACAUACACUUAUAUUAAUUUUGCAUGCCUUUUAUUUCAAGUGUAUAAUUACAUUGAAGGUCGGGUAGAAGAUUGUAGACCGAGAAGCUCAGUAGACAGUUCACUGGAUCCUGUAGAGCAAUUUCUGAGAAUUUCUAAGUUAUUCUGCUUGCACUGAUUUGAUGUCUGAGAUGCUUUUAAGUAUGAUUAAUGAAGGAAUAUCAGUUUAGAAGUUUAUCUGAAAACAAAAUUUGAGUUUUACAGAACAGCAAUGCAGGAAAGAUAACAACAAUUCAGACACAGUUUUGCAAUAUUUUCUUAGUAGAUAUACUGAUAGAGAUGUAUAUUAUAAUUAUACCAAUUCGCUUAAACAGAUAUUUACUGUGGCAAUAAUGUUGUAAAAUUUGAAUUAAUUGAAUUUUAUAAAUGCCUUAAGCUUUUUAAGAUCACAAUUAUGGCUAGGGCUAUUGGACGAGCUUUAGGAUAGUUUCCGCACUCUAUCCUAUGAAUAAGUACUAUAUUGUUCGCAUCUUUGUAGAAUUUUUAUACGUAUUGCAUGUAAACAUAGACAUCAAUUUUAGGAACUAGUUUGUCUGAAAUGAAUAUGUUCUUCAAUGUUUGUCUAAAAAAUAGUUUUUUUGCUGAUAUUUCGUCACUAGCAAAAUGGGCAGAAUUUGUGAAUACAUGAUUUAUUCUAAUUGUCACUGUUUUCAAAAGUUUACGCUGGAUUUGUAUAAGAUUUAGUUUCAUUUAGUCUAAAUCAUAAAAUUACUAAACAAAAAAAAAAAUGCCAUACUUUAUGGAUCUGUUUUGUCUCUCUUUAAGGGACAGUAAACAUAAACACUUUACAGCUGUUAGUGACAAAUUGGCCAUGGUCUUUUCAAAUAAGUGGCAAUUGGAUAUUUGUACUGUAAAAUAAUCACUAUUAAUAGAAUUAAAGUUUCGAGGCAGGAAUGGAGCUUCAGUUAUUGAGUGGAAAUCAGUUGUGUGGUCUUCAUCUUGAAAUUAUAAAAUAUAGACUUGCACGUGCUCCUUUAGGUAGCUUAAAUAGGAGCUCUCAUUUUAACAGGGGCCUCAGGAAAAUUGAAAUACUGAAAAAGCGGUAUGGAUUGCACAUACAUUUGAGCUUAUUUUCAAAUUUUAUAGUGUUACUGAAGUACGGAACAGUGAACCGACUAGAGCUAUAAAUUAUAGCAAUUUUCUGCAGCGAUUGAAAUAUUGGCAAAUUUAGUUUUCUGGUCAUCAGAUUUCGCGACCGGGAGAGCAAAAACUUAAGGUCUUGUAAACAGGUAACUAGGUAUAAGACAUGUAUUGCAUUUAGUUUAUAAUUCUACACAAACACUCAUAUAUUUUGCAUGUCUUUUAUUUCAGAUGUGUAGUUACAGACAUUUGUGUGAGGUUUUCAAAGUCAGGUAGAAGAUUGUAGGCCGAGUGGCCCUGAGGACUGUUUACAGCCUCCUUAAGAGCAAACCUUGAGAAAUUAUCUCUCAGAUAACAGAAAUAAAAACGUCUGCCUGUAUGAAAAAUGGAGACUUCUCCCAGUGCCUUCCACCAAAUACUCCUGGUAUCUAAGAACUCUUUCACUUUAGCACAUGAUUUCCAGGUAUGUAGUUAGAGACAGUUUGUGAGGUACAGAAAGUCAAGCAGGCGGUUGUAGGCCGAGAAGCUCUGAAGCAGACGAUUGUACUUUGAGAAUCUUUAGAAUUUAUGUGCAGUUACAGAGAUGUGUGUGAUGUUUUGAAAGUCAAGUAGAAGAUUGUAGGCCAAGAAACUCUGAAGACUCUUUACAGCCACCUUAAGAACAACUCUUGAGAAUUUUGGCAAGAAUGGUGUUUCAGCUUUUGAGUGAAAAUCAGUUGAGUAGCCUUCAUCUGGAAAUUAUGAAGUAUAGACUUGCAGGUGCGAAUGGAUACAUUCCUUUAGAUAGCUUUAAUAAGAGCUCUCAAUUCAGCGUGGGUCUCACGAAAUUUGAAAUAGUGAAAAAACGGUAUGUAUGACACAUAAAUUUGAGCAUAUCUUUACACUUGACCUUUUUACUGAAGUAGGGAACAGUGCAGCAAUCGCUACUAUCAUUUAUAGGGAAUUUUCUGAAGCGAUUUGAUAAUUGUAAAAUUUAGCUUUUCUCGCCUUCAGAUUUCGCGACCGGGAGAGCACAAUACAGCUUUUGUAAGCCGAUAACUAAAUAUAAAAAUGUAUUGCAGAUAGUUUGUAAUGCUACACAAAAUUUCGUAUCAAUUUUGCCUGUCUUUUAUUUUAGAUAUGCAAUUACAGAGAUUUGUGUGAUGUUUUGAAAGUCAAGUAGAAGAUUGUAGGCCAAGAAACUCUGAAGACUGUUUACAGCCUCCUUAAGAACAACUCUUGACAAUUUGUAAGAUCUUCCGCGUGAUUUUUUUUAUGACUGAGAUACUUUUCCAUACCGUAUAGCGGGUUAUUUCUGCGGUCAAAAUAUUCUGCGUUUUGGUCCCAAAAAUUGUGUACGAAAUUUACUGCGUGUUUAAUUUCUGCGUUUUCACAUUAAAGGAAGUGAUAUUUCUGCAUUUUAGAUACCAAGGAGGAGGUAAUU
Molecule: long non-coding RNA, 3291 nt
Organism: Mercenaria mercenaria
Lineage: Eukaryota; Metazoa; Mollusca; Bivalvia; Venerida; Veneridae
Exons: 5
Source: RefSeq, a predicted model, not a curated record